RNAcentral lists this unclassified non-coding RNA (322 nucleotides) under Hevea brasiliensis (rubber tree). The record is from RNAcentral. Lineage: Eukaryota; Viridiplantae; Streptophyta; Magnoliopsida; Malpighiales; Euphorbiaceae.
CUGCAGCUCUAAUGGACACCAAGAGUGGUCCUUCGCUGUUCAUUUCGAGAGCUUCACAGUUCAACCUAUGUCCAGCCUUCUAGCUUUAAUGUGUACUAUGAUAUAGUAUAUAAUGACCUGGAAAACCUAUUGCUUGAUUUAACUNCCAAAUGCAUCGGUCCAUUGCCAUUUUCACCCAGAAGAUUCUUACUAAUUCCAGUCUUAUCACCACCACCACCACUACUGCUACAUUUUUAUUCUCUCACUCCAAUACCUUAAACCCCAGGGCUAAUGGUUUUGCUUUAUUUCGCUUAUUCUCAUUUGUCCCAAGGCAACGACAGGC